This is a non-coding RNA of Paramuricea clavata, 88 nucleotides long. The record is from the annotation of a GenBank genome assembly. NCBI's taxonomy places the organism in Eukaryota, Metazoa, Cnidaria, Anthozoa, Malacalcyonacea, Plexauridae.
UUGAAGGAUUUGUAAGAAAUGUUUGAGAGAACUGUUAAACUGUUAAACACUGAAUCAGUUCCUCAAACAUUUCUUACAAAUUCUUCGA